Non-coding RNA from Delphinapterus leucas (beluga whale), 2857 nucleotides. The record is from RefSeq and is a predicted model, not a curated record. Lineage: Eukaryota; Metazoa; Chordata; Mammalia; Artiodactyla; Monodontidae.
CUGCGCAGUCACGGCUGCCAGCGAAGGGUCUGGAAGCGAGGGAGCUGCUGACGUCUGCGGCCCCGGCGUCGUGCGCAGUCGGGCCAAACGCGGCGACCGGCUCGGGCCGGUGUGGGAGCUGAGAAGUUUCCCGCCGAGUGGUCGCCAGACACCUCUGUCGAGUUGUGGCGGCCGGGCGGGGUCGCAGGGCCGUGGAGGCAGGGAGCCAGGUCGGCUGCAGGCCCGGCCGGGGCGCUCGCCCUCCCCGUCCUUUUCAACAUCCCCUCCCCUCCCCCACGCUCUGACCCCAAAGCGAGCGGCGAUUGCCCAGCAGGUCACUGUGAAGUUGGGACACGUGAGUUGGCAGAGAUGAACUCUUACUGCAGUGGACACCAACCCAGAGACGGCUGAACGAGCAUUCCCGAAGUCCUGCACUCCGCUGACCAGGUGAGGAGAAACUCCUCACAGCAUACACUGUCCAAUGGGAAUAACGACGGCUUGGGUGUCCAAGACACUGAUUCAGCAGGACCAAAUGCUGAGUAACUGCAGGAUUCCAGGGAAGCCUCUUCAUAUUUGCAGGUCUUCAUUUUUCUCUCUCUGAAGAGCAGGAAAUAUGAGAGAAGAGCUUAUGAACUUGAUAAAAAGUCCACUGAAAUGGGAAGAAGUUAAAAAGAGAGAGAAGAAAAGAAAAGAGGAAACUUUGUAGGACUGCUGAAAAGAGGAAAAUGUACCACUGACAUAUAAGAAAUAUGGAACUUGGGGAAUAUGUGAAACAGAAAGGACAAAAUGGAAGCAAAAACCUAUCAGACUUGAAUAGCAGAUUCCACAUACAGUAGAAGAAAGACUGAAGAUAAAUGAACCCAUCCACGUUUGUCACUCAGUGGUUAUUUGAGUGCAGUGUUGAGAAGGCGUGUGAAGAUGCUUGGAGACCUGAAGAAGCUGCCCCAACUAAAUAGCAAGCAAGUCCGGCAGAGCCAGAGUUUGAAUCCCAAGCCUGUAAUUGUUCCACUGUAGAAUUGAUGUUUCUAUGGGAAGCUCAGUUUGGGUUGUCGUCAGUAGGUCUCAUGGGUACCCUGGCUGUGUAAUUAUGGCUUGUAAAAGGUCGGUCGUGAAAGUUGAGCUGGUGAAAUCCAGCCUUGAAUACAUUGCUUGGCACAUGGUAAUUGCAUGGUCAAUAUAAUUGUUGAAUGAAAUAAUGAAUUAGUUGAUUAAUAGAAAACCCAUGAAUGUUAUUCUUAGUAAUUUACGUAAUAAACCAAGAGACUGUUUAUAUGUGUGUGAUUCAAGAGUGUUUACACACCCACAACUUCAGAUGACGGGCAGAUAUUCCUAGGAAGGUAAAACUGGAAUUUGAUUUUCAUUUAGUGAGUGAAAGAAACUGAAAUAAAAGGAUUGGCUAGUCAUCUAGGGAUCUCAUUAAAAAUGAAAAUCCCUAUAUUCCAUUCCCAGAGUUUGUUAUUUUUAUACUCUCCUGGAUGUGAAAUAAAAUGCUUUGUAAAUUGUGGAGUGCUGUACACACUUAAUAUAUUACCAAGAAACUGUGUGUGUGUGUGUGUGUGUGUGUGUGUGUUUCCCAUGAAGGUGGAGAAAGUAUCCUUUGGGAUCUGUUGAAAGUGAAGGAAGAGAACAGUUAAGAGACUCAGUUAAAUCAGAAAAGAAAGGGGCUCUUUCAUUCAGUGAAAGGAAUGUUUCUUUUGUCAGUAUCUCCCCCAGAGGCAAGUCUGGUUGACUAAAAUUUAACAAAGAGAUCCCGUUGGUGUGUUUGGUUAUUUCCUGAUUGAGGCAUCGUCGGUUACCCCAGGUGAUAGCAGUGUAUUGUCACUGUGUACACGCAGUCUGAAGGGAGAGCCAGGAAACUCUGAGCAAGGCUGCAGUGCUCAAAAUCUGGCCCAGCUCUGGGAGCCAAGGGUGAUUCUACUUGUCUGUCAUGCUUGUGACUCAGCACUCCUCUCCUUGCUUCCCUUUGUAGAUGUCUUCCUAUUCCAUAAUUGGUUACUACUUUUGUCCCUCCUUGUUUCUGCCUCAUGGCUUCUGCUUACUGCCUUCUGUCUACCAGUAAGCAACAUUUAUUGAGGCUUACUGUGUGCCAAGCAGAAUUUCACCUUUAUUCUCAGAACAACCUUUUGAGGUAGGAAUAGGGUGUCCUUGUUAUCUGAGUAUUCAUUACUAUAGUUUCCACACUGAGUGCACAGGGAUGCUAAGGCCAUCAAAAUAGGAAAACAUCCACUAAUGAGUUGAAAACCAAUGCAUUUUACACUCAAAACCCUCUUCCUACUUCAUAGUAGUCUUGGUAAUUAACAAUCACUAACAUACAAUGCACAUGUAAUGCAAAGCCUAAUAGCAAAAUUUGCAAAAGAUGCAGAAUGUCAUGAAGUCGAUGUCAAUAGGAAGGUCAUUGGUAAAAGACUGUCAGAGUGUGGCCAGUUAACAAUUAGAGAAGAGGAAAUAGACAAGGCCUGUGUUAAUUUUGCUACUUGAGAACCAGUGUUGCUGUUCUGAAAUACAUUUUGGAAAUCUUUGGUAUGUGCACUAUUAUAUAAUUGAGUGUAGGCAUUAACGUAGGCCAGAUUUUUAUCCUUUUCAGGUCUGUCAGGCUUUCAUGGAAUAAGAAUUAGGCUUCUGGAACAUAAUGUCAGUGAUUUUUGACUGAUAUGUGCUAAUGGGGUUAGGGAAACAUGAAUACUUGGAGUCCUUAAAAACUGAGGGUCAUAUCUAAGAUCUAUAAAUGAUGGAGCUGUGACUAUUCGUAGGCCCAAAUAGUGUCUUUGGCUUUCACUGUGAAGUCCUGCUAAUAGCAUCUUAGUUUUAUAUAGGGUAUUACAAUUCGAGAUUAUUUUCAUGUGCAUUAUCUCAUUUCAUGGUUAUUUGUAACUAUAAA